This 451-nucleotide ribosomal RNA is filed under the name uncultured bacterium. RNAcentral's name for it is "partial 16S ribosomal RNA". It matches the Rfam family "Bacterial small subunit ribosomal RNA", at positions 354 to 796 of the family's 1533-position model. The record is from RNAcentral.
GUGGGGAAUAUUGGACAAUGGGGGGAACCCUGAUCCAGCCAUGCCACGUGUGUGAAGAAGGCCUUUUGGUUGUAAAGCACUUUAAGCGAGGAGGAGGCUACCGAGAUUAAUACUCUUGGAUAGUGGACGUUACUCGCAGAAUAAGCACCGGCUAACUCUGUACCAGCAGCCGCGGUAAUACAGAGGGUGCAAGCGUUAAUCGGAUUUACUGGGCGUAAAGCGCGCGUAGGUGGCCAAUUAAGUCAAAUGUGAAAUCCCCGAGCUUAACUUGGGAAUUGCAUUAGAUACUGGUUGGCUAGAGUAUGGGAGAGGAUGGUAGAAUUCCAGGUGUAGCGGUGAAAUGCGUAGAGAUCUGGAGGAAUACCGAUGGCGAAGGCAGCCAUCUGGCCUAAUACUGACACUGAGGUGCGAAAGCAUGGGGAGCAAACAGGAUUAGAAACCCCGGUAGUCC